AUGAGACUUUAACGCCUUCAGAAGAUUGAGGAAAUGAGACGCUAACAUCUUUACCACUAAAACAAGGGUUCUGUCUCCUCUGACUGGAACACAGGCUCUGCGACAAAAAACUCUUGGAGUCAUCGUUGCAUCUCUCCCUUAACCUAUGGGUCAACUGGAUUUCACCCCCUGCUACAGGUGGAUGCUUCAGCAGAAUUUUUUCUUAAUAGUUCAUCUCAGCAACUAGAAAGUCUGCCUUAUACAUUGUUAAAGAUGCCUACUCCUUUCAUCUGAUUCCUCUUCUGGUAAUAUACAGGACUGUGCCAUCCAAGGCUGAAACCUGGGCUGCUUAACAUCGAUUCUUUUGCUUCUCUGUACCUGUCAUCAUCUGGAUCCUUCCCACUUCUUUGAUCUUGGCCUACAAUCCUUCAUGCCCCUUUCCCCAAAUUUCCCAUAUGUUCUCCUUCUUCUGUGCCUUUGCCCAUGCUACUUUUUGUUGUCUGGCUACUACUCCUAGGGUAAUGAAGUGACAUGUUUUCUGGAAGCUGCUGGCAUCAGGUACUAGAAAAUUUAUAUUCCUGUAUUUGUUCAUUUCGAUUCUAAAAAUUAUUAUCAAAAAGUCGAUCUAACAUGUAUAAAUAUUAUUUAUAAUGAAAAAACCAGAAAAGUUAAACUCUAAGAGUGUUGUGCAGCUAUGUAAAUGGCAUUUUCAAGUCAUUUUAUGGUUGAGGAAAAAAUGUAUUUUAUAUA
Long non-coding RNA from Carlito syrichta (Philippine tarsier), 729 nucleotides. RefSeq lists it as uncharacterized. The transcript has 3 exons. The record is from RefSeq and is a predicted model, not a curated record. NCBI's taxonomy places the organism in Eukaryota, Metazoa, Chordata, Mammalia, Primates, Tarsiidae.